Gadus morhua (Atlantic cod) is the source of this 58-nucleotide microRNA precursor. Ensembl annotates it as gmo-mir-205-2. Its record names the gene gmo-mir-205-2. NCBI's taxonomy places the organism in Eukaryota, Metazoa, Chordata, Actinopteri, Gadiformes, Gadidae. The record is from Ensembl.
UCCUUCAUUCCACCGGAGUCUGUCUUGAGCCAAUCAGAUUUCAGUGGCGUGAAGAAUA